CGAUCCUACGGGAGGCAGCAGUAGGGAAUCUUCCACAAUGGACGAAAGUCUGAUGGAGCAACGCCGCGUGAGUGAAGAAGGGUUUCGGCUCGUAAAGCUCUGUUGGUAGUGAAGAAAGAUAGAGGUAGUAACUGGCCUUUAUUUGACGGUAAUUACUUAGAAAGUCACGGCUAACUACGUGCCAGCAGCCGCGGUAAUACGUAGGUGGCAAGCGUUGUCCGGAUUUAUUGGGCGUAAAGCGAGUGCAGGCGGUUCAAUAAAGUUUG
Molecule: ribosomal RNA, 266 nt
Filed under: uncultured bacterium
Lineage: Bacteria
Description: partial 16S ribosomal RNA
Rfam family: Bacterial small subunit ribosomal RNA
Source: RNAcentral